RNAcentral lists this transfer RNA (70 nucleotides) under Epipedobates anthonyi. RNAcentral's name for it is "tRNA-Val". It matches the Rfam family "tRNA". From Rfam's summary of the family: Transfer RNA (tRNA) molecules are approximately 80 nucleotides in length. The record is from RNAcentral. Lineage: Eukaryota; Metazoa; Chordata; Amphibia; Anura; Dendrobatidae. RNAcentral also lists the same sequence under 6 other names.
CAAAAUGUAACUUAAAAUAAAGUAUUUCGCUUACACCGAAAAAACAUCAGUGUAACCCUGAUCAUUUUGA